GACGAACGCUGGCGGCGUGCUUAACACAUGCAAGUCGAACGGAAAGGCCCUGCUUUUGUGGGGUGCUCGAGUGGCGAACGGGUGAGUAACACGUGAGUAACCUGCCCUUGACUUUGGGAUAACUUCAGGAAACUGGGGCUAAUACCGGAUAGGAGCUCCUGCUGCAUGGUGGGGGUUGGAAAGUUUCGGCGGUUGGGGAUGGACUCGCGGCUUAUCAGCUUGUUGGUGGGGUAGUGGCUUACCAAGGCUUUGACGGGUAGCCGGCCUGAGAGGGUGACCGGCCACAUUGGGACUGAGGUGCGACCCAGACGCCUACGGGAGGCAGCAGUGGAGAAUAUUGCACAAUGGGCGGAAGCCGGAUGCAGCAACGCCGCGUGCGGGAUGACGGCCUUCGGGUUGUAAACCGCUUUCGCCUGUGACGAAGCGUGAGUGACGGUAAUGGGUAAAGAAGCACCGGCUAACUACGU
RNAcentral lists this ribosomal RNA (467 nucleotides) under uncultured bacterium. RNAcentral describes it as "partial 16S ribosomal RNA". It matches the Rfam family "Bacterial small subunit ribosomal RNA", at positions 28 to 506 of the family's 1533-position model. The record is from RNAcentral.